UGUGGCCAUACAUAGGUGUAUAAAUGUGUGUUUGGGUAUGUAUAUGUGUAUUGAAAUGUAUAUGGGCACAUCAUAUAUGUACAUAUAUAUACACAUAUGUAAAGAAUAAUGGUGGCGAGUUGCUAGGAAGGUGCUGGGUUAGUCUCCGUCACCAUCUUCACAACAUGCUUAGUUCCAAGAUGUGAUCACUGCAGUACACACACACACUCACACACACACGCAC
RNAcentral lists this long non-coding RNA (223 nucleotides) under Carica papaya (papaya). RNAcentral describes it as "long non-coding RNA (CPAP_LNC014462)". Lineage: Eukaryota; Viridiplantae; Streptophyta; Magnoliopsida; Brassicales; Caricaceae. The record is from RNAcentral.